CUACUCUUGACAUCCAGAGAACUUAGCAGAGAUGCUUUGGUGCCUUCGGGAACUCUGAGACAGGUGCUGCAUGGCUGUCGUCAGCUCGUGUUGUGAAAUGUUGGGUUAAGUCCCGCAACGAGCGCAACCCUUAUCCUUUGUUGCCAGCGGUCCGGCCGGGAACUCAAAGGAGACUGCCAGUGAUAAACUGGAGGAAGGUGGGGAUGACGUCAAGUCAUCAUGGCCCUUACGAGUAGGGCUACACACGUGCUACAAUGGCGCAUACAAAGAGAAGCGAACUCGCGAGAGCAAGCGGACCUCAUAAAGUGCGUCGUAGUCCGGAUUGGAGUCUGCAACUCGACUCCAUGAAGUCGGAAUCGCUAGUAAUCGUAGAUCAGAAUGCUACGGUGAAUA
RNAcentral lists this ribosomal RNA (393 nucleotides) under uncultured bacterium. RNAcentral describes it as "bacterial SSU rRNA". It matches the Rfam family "Bacterial small subunit ribosomal RNA", at positions 975 to 1368 of the family's 1533-position model. The record is from RNAcentral.